RNAcentral lists this ribosomal RNA (245 nucleotides) under uncultured bacterium. RNAcentral's name for it is "partial 16S ribosomal RNA". It matches the Rfam family "Bacterial small subunit ribosomal RNA", at positions 524 to 768 of the family's 1533-position model. The record is from RNAcentral.
UACAUAGGGUGCAAGCGUUGUCCGGAUUUACUGGGCGUAAAGCGCGCGUAGGCGGCAAUUCAAGUCAAACUUUAAAUACUCCUGGCUUAACCGGAGUUUGGGUUUGAUACUGUUUUGCUGGAGAUUGGGAGAGGAAAGUGGAACAAACAGUGUAGCGGUGAAAUGCGUAGAUAUUGUUUGGAACACCCAUGGCGAAGGCAACUUUCUGGACCAAUUCUGACGCUGAGGCGCGAGAGCGUGGGUAG